Molecule: ribosomal RNA, 439 nt
Filed under: uncultured bacterium
Lineage: Bacteria
Description: partial 16S ribosomal RNA
Rfam family: Bacterial small subunit ribosomal RNA
Source: RNAcentral
CCUACGGGGGCAGCAGUGGGGAAUAUUUCACAAUGGGGGAAACCCUGAUGCAGCAACGCCGCGUGAGUGAAGAAGUAUUUCGGGAUGUAAAGCUCUAUCAGCAGGGAAGAAGAUGACGGUACCUGAAUAAGAAGCCCCGUCUAACUACGUGCCAGCAGCGGCGGGAAUACGUAGGGGGCAAGCGUGAUGCGGAUUUACUGGGUGUAAAGGGAGCGCAGACGGCAGUGCAAGUCUGGGGUGAAAGCCCGGGGCUCAACCCCGGAACUGCUCUUGAAACUGUGCGGCUAGAGUACUGGAGGGGCAGGCGGAAUUCCUGGUGUAGCGGCGAAAUGCGUAGAUAUUAGGAGGAACACCAGUGGCGAAGGCGAUCUGCUGGACAGUAACUGACGUUGAGGCUCGAAAGCGUGGGGAGCAAACAGGAUUAGAUACCCCAGUAGUC